AGAGUUUGAUCAUGGCUCAGGAUGAACGCUGGCGGUAUGCUUAACACAUGCAAGUCGAACGGAACUCUUCGGAGUUUAGUGGCGGGCGGGUGAGUAACGAGUGAGAAACUGAACAGAGGUUGGGGACAACCACUGGAAACGGUGGCUAAGACCGAAUAAGCCGAGAGGUGAAAGAGAGAUUGCAUAAGGAGGAGCUCGCGUCUGAUUAGCUAGGUGGUGGGGUAAAGGCCUACCAAAGACCCGAUCAGUAACUGGUCUGAGAGGAUGGUCAGUCACACUGGGAAUGAGACACGGACCAGAGUCCUACGGGAGGCAGCAGUGGGGAAUGUUCCGCAAUGGGCGAAAGCCUGACGGAGCAAUACCGCGUGAGGGAGGAAGGCUCUUGGGUCGUAAACCUCUUUUCUCAGGGACGAAAUAAAUGACGGUACCUGAGGAAUGAGCAUCGGCUAACUCCGUGCCAGCCGCCGCGGUAAUUC
This 476-nucleotide ribosomal RNA is filed under the name uncultured bacterium. RNAcentral describes it as "bacterial SSU rRNA". It matches the Rfam family "Bacterial small subunit ribosomal RNA", at positions 8 to 526 of the family's 1533-position model. The record is from RNAcentral.